GCGAUUUCAAUCAGUAAGGGUAAGCUGAGGCGAACUGGAUAUUUGUAGCGAUAACUUGGCGAGUCGCGAUUUCAACCGGUAAGGGUAAGCUUUGGUACUCGGCGAGUCACGAUUUCAACCGGUAAGGGUAAGCUUUGGAAUUUUUUAAAAAGGUGAGUCACAAUUUCAACUGGUAAGGGUAAGCUUUGGAUUUUUUUAAAAAGUUGGGGGCAUAUUUGUUGCCUAUAGGGUUCAUAACACGUUACUCACACUCAUAGGAUCUCAACAUGAGGUACACAUGUCACACAUGC
This 290-nucleotide long non-coding RNA is filed under the name Amborella trichopoda. RNAcentral describes it as "long non-coding RNA (ATRI_LNC001607)". The record is from RNAcentral. Lineage: Eukaryota; Viridiplantae; Streptophyta; Magnoliopsida; Amborellales; Amborellaceae.